CUCUGGCUGCUUGUCCAGAGAGAAGAACCACAGACAGGAAGGCAGAGGCAGAGCUGAGAGCAAGGAUGGAAGACCCGGGGCUGAGUUACAGAGGCUGAGGGGCACAGAGGUCCGGAGCAGGGAUGAGACUCUGGGCUGAGGUCCACAUUCUCAGUGGAGGCUCAGAGGACCAUGUGUCUAGCCUGAACACAACCUGGUGGAAUCUGCUCUACUAGGCUGUGCACAUGCAUCAUGCUGAUAAGGAGCUCUUUUUCACACUUGGUCACCUGAAAAUACUGGCCUACCACAAAGAUUCUACCACAGCGCUUAGUGUCAUGGGAGACUCCACAUUGACUUCCAGCCUAGUCUAGUGGGAACCAGGGGAAGAAGCUUGGAUCAGAAAACAAUGCCUCCUGUGUUGAGAAUACUGCCCAUGGAACCUCCAAACAAUUCAGGCUUUUGCCAAGAGGACAGGUUGCUUUCCACAAACUAACAACAAGAUUUUAGUCGGGAAGCACUGGCACUAAGAGUUGAAACCACACAACAGAAGCUACAGUCUGAGCCCCAGCUCUUAACAAUGGCUGUGACAGAAGACGCCAGGGAAGUAUAUCCAAUGGGAGUCACAAAACACGGUAUAAACCUCCCCAACAAUCAUAAUUUGCUUACAAGACAAAGCUAAGGAUUAAAGUCCAGAUUCCUUCA
Molecule: long non-coding RNA, 681 nt
Organism: Mastomys coucha (southern multimammate mouse)
Lineage: Eukaryota; Metazoa; Chordata; Mammalia; Rodentia; Muridae
Exons: 4
Source: RefSeq, a predicted model, not a curated record